RNAcentral lists this ribosomal RNA (253 nucleotides) under uncultured bacterium. Its description in RNAcentral is "partial 16S ribosomal RNA". It matches the Rfam family "Bacterial small subunit ribosomal RNA", at positions 524 to 776 of the family's 1533-position model. The record is from RNAcentral.
UACGGAGGGUGCAAGCGUUAUCCGGAUUUACUGGGUUUAAAGGGUGCGUAGGUGGGUCUGUAAGUCAGUGGUGAAAUCUCCGGGCUUAACCCGGAAACUGCCAUUGAUACUAUAGAUCUUGAAUAUCCUGGAGGUGAGCGGAAUAUGUCAUGUAGCGGUGAUAUGCUUAGAUAUGACAUAGAACACCAAUUGCGAAGGCAGCUCACUACGGGAUCAUUGACACUGAGGCACGAAAGCGUGGGGAUCAAACAGG